This 459-nucleotide ribosomal RNA is filed under the name uncultured bacterium. RNAcentral describes it as "partial 16S ribosomal RNA". It matches the Rfam family "Bacterial small subunit ribosomal RNA", at positions 338 to 795 of the family's 1533-position model. The record is from RNAcentral.
CCUACGGGUGGCAGCAGUGAGGAAUAUUGGUCAAUGGGCGGAAGCCUGAACCAGCCAAGUAGCGUGCGGGAUGAAGGCCCUACGGGUCGUAAACCGCUUUUGCACGGGGAUAAAACCCUCCACUUGUGGAGGUCUGCAUGUACCGUACGAAUAAGGGCCGGCUAAUUCCGUGCCAGCAGCCGCGGUAAUACGGAAGGCCCGAGCGUUAUCCGGAUUCAUUGGGCUUAAAGGGAGGGUAGGAGGGCGAUCAAGUCAGUUGUAAAAUCGCGCGGCGCAACGGUACCACGCAGUUGAAACUGGAAGCCUUGAGUUCACAACAGGCAGGCGGAAUUCGUGGUGUAGCGGUGAAAUGCAUAGAUAUCACGAGGAACGCCGAUUGCGAAGGCAGCUUGCCGGGGUGCGACUGACGCUGAGGCUCGAAGGUGCGGGUAUCAAACAGGAUUAGAUACCCUUGUAGUC